CUUCCCGUCUCCUUCCUUCCCCACAAAUUUAGUACUCGUAUUUACUUGCACCCCACUUUUCCCCCAUUCCCCUUCCCUUCCGUCCGUCGCCGGGAUCGGAUCGCGCCGCUCUUCUCCGGCAGGCGCGGAUCGCCGAUCGACAGCCGGUCGGCAAGCAGCAUCGGUUGGCAGGCCGUCUUAGGGGAGCAAGAAGAGGAGGGAUCGACCGAUGGGGCGGCUGUUCCUGACCAGCCUGGCGCCGGCGACCGGCACCAUCUACUGCUGCAAGCACUGCGACUCCCACCUCGCCUACGCCCAGCACAUCAUCUCCAAGAUGUUCCGCUGCAAGCACGGCAAGGCCUACCUCUUCGACAAGGUGUAAGUGAUUGAUUACUGGACCAUGCCUGAAUCCCCCCAUCUUGCUCAUACUUCUCCAUUUUUAUUCAUCAUCUUGCUACUGCCUGUGCUCUGUUUUAUUUACUGUGUGCUCUGUUCUUCUCUGUAACACGGCUGCUGCUGCUGCUGCUGCUGCAUUAUUAUUAUUAUUCAGAAGAAUUGAUGUGCUCUGUUCUCUGUUUUACCGUGUGUUUCAUUGUGUAUGUGCCCUUCCUUCAUCGGCAAUGCAGCGUGAACGUGGUCGCCGGGGAGAGUGAGGACGACCGGAUGAUGACCACGGGCCUGCACACCGUCCGCGACAUCUUCUGCGUCGCCUGCGGAGCCAUCCUCGGCUGGAAAUACGUGUCUGCAUUUGACAAGGAUCAGAGGUAUAAGGAGGGCAAGUUCAUCCUGGAGAGGUGCAAGAUCCAUUCGGGCGGAGGCGGCCCUCCCGACCGCAUCCAGCUGUGGGCUGAGCAUGACGCUCGCAUAAGUUCCAGCGAGGAUGACGACCAGGGCGCCGUGUGACCUUGCAAGACAAUGCAAGAUCAGUUCAUUAGGCAGGCAGACAUGACAUGACUGUAAAUAUUAGUGUUAAUCAGCGUCGUUCCGUUCCCUGGCACUGCAAAUCAUGUAGCUGCUCGCUAGAUGAAGAACCAUGAAUGCUUAUCUAUCUAUGCAUAUGCAACCGUAUGAACCAGACUAGUUGUCGUUCAUGUACAUAUAAGAAUGUGUCUCCACCAAAAUAAAAUCUUUGUCAGUUUAGUACUGAUUUGGUUAUCGGUCUAUCUCCACAACACUAGCUAUUAAUCAUUUGGAGGAUGGAUAUCCCCUGCUGGCAGUGUUAUGCAUGCUAUGUCCAUCAGUUAAGCAUUGGUGAACAGUGAUCACAUCUUUUUACACCGUCUGAGGCAGUUUUAGUUGAUUUAUUUACAUGGGCUGUUUCCCCCCUUGUGAAGCAGAAUAUUCAGGUGGGGUUUACAAGUGAAUUAUUUAACGGGCGUUUAAUUUGAUAAAAUAAAUCCAGGAUGAAACAUUGAACGGAAAAUGUCAUUUCGAUGAAAAAAUUAUGCAUGGCAAUGAUCUAGGACAAUUGCGUAAGAAACGUGAAAGAAACAUUGUAACUGCAUCAUGUUCGGAACGACAUACAAUUCCCUGUUCUGGGACAUUUUGUUGCAUACAUUAGCUGCAGCUGGUGUUUGUCUGCGUGGUUUGUUAGAAUGGUGAUGGUUUGAAUUCUUCACAUUUCAUAUACUGGGAGAAUGACAACGAAUGUUACCACUCAGAAGGGCAAAUCUACUGAGGUUGCGAUUCUGAUCCACAACACAUGUGGCAUGUGGUUUCACAUGCUGAUCAUUCACAUUAUUAUUCGACUUUUGUUGUUGUUUCCUUCCUCAUUAUAGUAGUAUAUAUAUGUGUGUAAAAAGGCGUGGGGAUUUGGAACUCGAUUCCCUGGUUUGUUUACAGUGAUUUGGUUCACCAUCGCUUGUUCAAACACAGGAAAUCCAUGAAAAAUUGGCUGGCUCUAUCACCUUUCAGCAUUGUCAACAGGAAGCAAAUACAGUGGCGCACAAGCCGGCGAGACGCUUUUGAUACAAAUUCUCC
RNAcentral lists this ribosomal RNA (1959 nucleotides) under Triticum aestivum (bread wheat). Its description in RNAcentral is "partial small subunit ribosomal RNA". The record is from RNAcentral. Lineage: Eukaryota; Viridiplantae; Streptophyta; Magnoliopsida; Poales; Poaceae.